UACAGAGGGUGCGAGCGUUAAUCGGAAUUACUGGGCGUAAAGGGUGCGCAGGCGGUUUGUUGUGUUCGAUGUGAAAUCCCCCGGCUCACCCGGGGAACUGCAUCGAAAACUGACAGACUUGAGUGCAGGAGAGGAGAGCGGAAUUUCCGGUGUAGCGGUGAAAUGCGUAGAUAUCGGAAGGAACGCCAGUGGCGAAAGCGGCUCUCUGGCCUGCAACUGACGCUGAGGCACGAAAGCCAGGGUAGCGAACGGGAUUAGAUACCCGAGUA
This 269-nucleotide ribosomal RNA is filed under the name uncultured prokaryote. RNAcentral's name for it is "partial 16S ribosomal RNA". It matches the Rfam family "Bacterial small subunit ribosomal RNA", at positions 524 to 792 of the family's 1533-position model. The record is from RNAcentral.